UUACUCUGGUUUCUCUUCAAACCACGAAUAUAUCUUUCGCCUUUUACUAAAGAUAUCCGUGGAGAGGAACAAUUAAUGAGUCUAUAGACAAUUUCUCUACACCCCACUUUACGUGGGUA
RNAcentral lists this small nuclear RNA (119 nucleotides) under Mytilus galloprovincialis (Mediterranean mussel). It matches the Rfam family "U5 spliceosomal RNA". Rfam says of the family: U5 RNA is a component of both types of known spliceosome. The precise function of this molecule is unknown, though it is known that the 5' loop is required for splice site selection and p220 binding, and that both the 3' stem-loop and the Sm site are important for Sm protein binding and cap methylation. The record is from RNAcentral. Lineage: Eukaryota; Metazoa; Mollusca; Bivalvia; Mytilida; Mytilidae.